GUUACAAGUAAUCAAUGCAUCUGAUUCUACUUAUUCGCUUUCGAUUUUUAGAGUAACAUCCCUAGAGAUUAAAAAGAAAAAAGGUCAGCUGACGUAACAUUGUAACGAUCUGCAAUUAUUAAGAUC
Molecule: long non-coding RNA, 126 nt
Organism: Aricia agestis (brown argus)
Lineage: Eukaryota; Metazoa; Arthropoda; Insecta; Lepidoptera; Lycaenidae
Exons: 3
Source: RefSeq, a predicted model, not a curated record